Molecule: transfer RNA, 60 nt
Filed under: Elateroidea sp. 8 KM-2017
Lineage: Eukaryota; Metazoa; Arthropoda; Insecta; Coleoptera
Description: tRNA-Tyr
Source: RNAcentral
AGUGGAAUGGCCGAUAAAGGCGUUAAAUUGUAAAUUUAUUAAUGAAAUUAUUCUUCCACU